CAGGAGUUAAACUUAGGGAAUGUAGCAGGUAGAGCGUCUGAUGGAAACAUUAAUACAGUGUGAUGAAUAAGCGGCGGAAUGGCAUAAAAGCUGCGCGUGAGACUGCGGAGCGGUGCGAUGUAGCGCCGGGAGCUGUGACUAACGCACGGAACGGAUCCGUGCAGGCAGGGCUGGUGCUUCCAAUUCCUUCGAGUUCGGGAAGCGGAGCGAGCCGCGCUGCUGGGAGGCUGAGAGGCAAGGCGAGGCAACGGAGAAGCUGCUUUUCUUUCUUUCUUUUUUUUUUUUUUUCUCCUUUCCAUUUUUUUUUUCCUCUUUUAAGUGUCCGUUUGCUGAAGACAAGCAAUCUAAAUGUGAAAUAAAACCUACUCACCGGGUGACAUAUCAGGAAGCGAAGCGGCUGUGAGCAAAAUGCAUCCCGAAUCCAAACGUACAGUCCAUAUCUCCGGCUUCAGGCUAGAGGAGGGAUGGGCAUGGUGGUGGGACUUUGGAAACCAUCAGCAGUUCCGUGUGGCACAGCAGCAAGUACAACACCCAUACACACCGAAAGAAUAACAAACGGCGGGAUGCGCACAGCGGGCAGGAACAGAGGGGCUGCGUCGAGCCUGCUCAAAGCACAGUCCAGACCGAGCCGGCAGCGGGAGGCUGCGGAGGGCAGGGACGGCUCGGCGGGGCUCUGGCGGAGGGGCUGCGGAGG
This 694-nucleotide long non-coding RNA is filed under the name Gallus gallus (chicken). RNAcentral describes it as "long non-coding RNA NONGGAT008865". The record is from RNAcentral. Lineage: Eukaryota; Metazoa; Chordata; Aves; Galliformes; Phasianidae.